Molecule: long non-coding RNA, 730 nt
Organism: Triticum aestivum (bread wheat)
Lineage: Eukaryota; Viridiplantae; Streptophyta; Magnoliopsida; Poales; Poaceae
Exons: 3
Source: RefSeq, a predicted model, not a curated record
UCAUCUCACCGGAACCUUGCCCCGCGGCAGCCCUGGAAUACCACCGUCCGGAAACUUCCCGGCUACCUCCCGCAGCGCCGGCGCGAGGACCUGGGCGACGGGGCGGGGCGAGGUCCUGUAGGCAACCCCCGGCUGUGCUUGGUCGUAGCGGUAGCGAGAGGGAGCCGCGGGCGCGAGGACAUGGGUCAGGAGCUGGCCGAAGACGCCGGUGUGAGGACCUUGGCUUGGGGCCGCUCCCCCACGGCCCUGCCGACGCCGGCGUGAGUUCCUGGAGUCGAAGCCCCGGCUGGGCUUGGCGUAGUGGUCGACCAACGAAGCAAGGUUGGCAAAAAAGGAGCAUUUCAAAGCUUGGCAUUAUCUCAGCAUAGUCACAACGUAGGGGGAGCACGUCGUUAGCAACUUUGAAGGCCACGUUGUUGCAAUCUUCCAAAUGUGCUAGCAGCAAAAAAAGGAUGAGUAAAUUACAGGCAAGCAGGAACCAGCAGCUGCUUCUUCCAUCAAUUCUUCAAUCUUUGCUCCAUAUUUUUGCUCAGAACUAUCCAUCAGUUCCUAGUUUGCAUAGAGGCUGAACUUCUUGUUUCAAAUACUUGGAGACGCUUUUGAUCCAGUGGCAACUUGCAGGCAUAAAUAAUGUACGUUAUAAUGUCACUGAAGGGAGUUUCACAGUUCUUAUUGUAUGUCAUGGACGCUGUCAGAUUAUGGUCAAUCCAUUUCAUGCAGUUUACUUUCA